UUUCUUUCUUCUCUUCCUUUCUUUCUUUCUUUCUCUCUCUCUCUCUCUUCUUUCUUUCUUUUUUUUCUCUCCAGCUAAAUGCUGAUUCCUUGAGGGCAGAAACACAUCAGGGCUUCUUCUUCAUUAAAAGUAAAGUUCCGGUUACUCCAUGUUUGGUGACUGACUAACUCUUUCCAUCUGGACAGAUGUGAUGGUACAAGGCACAUUCCUAAACAUUCCAGCUGAGGGUCCCAUGUCAUUGUGCCUGUUACUGUAAACCUAGUGAUAGGUCCAAGGGAAGCUGCUGCCUUGUUAUACGGACAUGCUGUUAAACUGCCUUCUAACUAAAUACUUACGUUUUGACCCACAGAUUAGUGCUGUCCUCAACCCUGCACAGAGAAACCUCUCUAUGCAAUGGGCAGCACAGAGACUCAUGAGCGGUCAAAGUGCUGAGAAUAAGUUAAGUAUUGCUGGCUCAGCCCUAAAUGAGACAUCUCUGCUAACCACUCCCCACAAGGCUUAGGAACAUGUUGGAAGAAGGGACAAAAGAAUGCAAGAACCAGAGAUGGGAAGAAUGCUGUAAAACGCUGUCUUCUAGAUGUGACGCCGAAGUUGUUGCAGUCAUGACCCCCCUGCGGCUCUAGUCACCUGCACAAGACCUGCACAGGAUCAAGCCAACAAGAAACCGUGUGAAUAAACAGAGGAGCAAGAUUUGGCUCCCGCUCCUACCAGCUGGCUUCAUGCCAUCAUCCCCCAAACAGGAGGACAGAUGCCAGAAGGAAAGAACCAGCAGUAACGGUGACAAAAAAAA
Long non-coding RNA from Peromyscus leucopus (white-footed mouse), 790 nucleotides. RefSeq lists it as uncharacterized. The record is from RefSeq and is a predicted model, not a curated record. The transcript is spliced from 2 exons. NCBI's taxonomy places the organism in Eukaryota, Metazoa, Chordata, Mammalia, Rodentia, Cricetidae.